UCCAGGGUAGCCGAUUGGACAAGGCACCUGCCCGGUAAGCAGAAGGGUGUGGGUUCGAUUCCCGCCCCUGGAC
This 73-nucleotide transfer RNA is filed under the name Cordylochernes scorpioides. RNAcentral's name for it is "tRNA-Thr". It matches the Rfam family "tRNA". From Rfam's summary of the family: Transfer RNA (tRNA) molecules are approximately 80 nucleotides in length. Their secondary structure includes four short double-helical elements and three loops (D, anti-codon, and T loops). Further hydrogen bonds mediate the characteristic L-shaped molecular structure. tRNAs have two regions of fundamental functional importance: the anti-codon, which is responsible for specific mRNA codon recognition, and the 3' end, to which the tRNAs corresponding amino acid is attached (by aminoacyl-tRNA synthetases). tRNAs cope with the degeneracy of the genetic code in two manners: having more than one tRNA (with a specific anti-codon) for a particular amino acid; and 'wobble' base-pairing, i.e. permitting non-standard base-pairing at the 3rd anti-codon position. Lineage: Eukaryota; Metazoa; Arthropoda; Arachnida; Pseudoscorpiones; Chernetidae. The record is from RNAcentral.